GACGAACGCUGGCGGCGUGCUUAACACAUGCAAGUCGAACGGAAAGGCCUUUUCGGAGGUACUCGAGUGGCGAACGGGUGAGUAACACGUGGGUGAUCUGCCCUGCACUCUGGGAUAAGCCUGGGAAACUGGGUCUAAUACCGGAUAGGACCGCACUUUAGUGUGUGUGGUGGAAAGUUUUUUCGGUGUAGGAUGAGCCCGCGGCCUAUCAGCUUGUUGGUGGGGUAAUGGCCUACCAAGGCGGCGACGGGUAGCCGGACUGAGAGGUUGGUCGGCCACAUUGGGGCUGAGAUACGGCCCAGACUCCUACGGGAGGCAGCAGUGGGGAAUAUUGCACAAUGGGCGGAAGCCUGAUGCAGCGACGCCGCGUGGGGGAUGACGGCCUUCGGGUUGUAAACUCCUUUCGCCAGGGACGAAGCGUUUUGUGACGGUACCUGGAGAAGAAGCACCGGCUAACUACGUG
Molecule: ribosomal RNA, 463 nt
Filed under: uncultured bacterium
Lineage: Bacteria
Description: partial 16S ribosomal RNA
Rfam family: Bacterial small subunit ribosomal RNA
Source: RNAcentral